RNAcentral lists this ribosomal RNA (301 nucleotides) under uncultured bacterium. RNAcentral describes it as "partial 16S ribosomal RNA". It matches the Rfam family "Bacterial small subunit ribosomal RNA", at positions 509 to 807 of the family's 1533-position model. The record is from RNAcentral.
CAGUCGCCGCGGUAAUACAGAGGGUGCGAGCGUUAAUCGGAUUUACUGGGCGUAAAGCGCGCGUAGGUGGUUUGUUAAGUUGGAUGUGAAAUCCCCGGGCUCAACCUGGGAACUGCAUCCAAAACUGGCAAGCUAGAGUAUGGUAGAGGGUGGUGGAAUUUCCUGUGUAGCGGUGAAAUGCGUAGAUAUAGGAAGGAACACCAGUGGCGAAGGCGACCACCUGGACUGAUACUGACACUGAGGUGCGAAAGCGUGGGGAGCAAACAGGAUUAGAUACCCGGGUAGUCCCUGUCUCUUAUAC